GAGUUUGAUCGUGGCUCAGGAUGAACGCUGGCGGCGUGCCUAAUACAUGCAAGUCGAACGAACAGAUAAGGAGCUUGCUCCUUUGACGUUAGCGGCGGACGGGUGAGUAACACGUGGGUAACCUACCUAUAAGACUGGAAUAACUCCGGGAAACCGGGCUAAUGCCGGAUAACAUGUUGAACCGCAUGGUUCUACAGUGAAAGACGGUCUUGCUGUCACUUAUAGAUGGACCCGCGCCGUAUUAGCUAGUUGGUGGGGUAACGGCCUACCAAGGCGACGAUACGUAGCCGACCUGAGAGGGUGAUCGGCCACACUGGAACUGAGACACGGUCCAGACUCCUACGGGAGGCAGCAGUAGGGAAUCUUCCGCAAUGGGCGAAAGCCUGACGGAGCAACGCCGCGUGAGUGAUGAAGGUCUUCGGAUCGUAAAGCUCUGUUGUUAGGGAAGAACAAAUGUGUAAGUAACUGUGCAUAUCUUGACGGUACCUAACCAGAAAGCCACGGCUAACUACAUGCCAGCCG
Molecule: ribosomal RNA, 522 nt
Filed under: uncultured microorganism
Description: bacterial SSU rRNA
Rfam family: Bacterial small subunit ribosomal RNA
Source: RNAcentral